RNAcentral lists this ribosomal RNA (467 nucleotides) under uncultured bacterium. RNAcentral describes it as "partial 16S ribosomal RNA". It matches the Rfam family "Bacterial small subunit ribosomal RNA", at positions 28 to 507 of the family's 1533-position model. The record is from RNAcentral.
GACGAACGCUGGCGGCGUGCUUAACACAUGCAAGUCGAACGGAAAGGCCUCUUUCGGGGGGUACUCGAGUGGCGAACGGGUGAGUAACACGUGAGUAACCUGCCCUUGACUUUGGGAUAACUUCCGGAAACUGGGGCUAAUACCGGAUAGGAGCUCCUGCUGCAUGGUGGGGGUUGGAAAGUUUCGGCGGUUGGGGGUGGACUCGCGGCUUAUCAGCUUGUUGUUGGGGUAGUGGAUUACCAAGGCGUUGACGGGUAGCCGGCCUGAGAGGGUGACCGGCCACAUUGGGACUGAGAGAAGGCCCAGAUACCUACGGGAGGGAGAAGUGGGGAAGAUUGAACAAGGGGUGGAAGGCGGAUGCAGAAACGCCGUGGGCGGGAUGACGGCCUUCGGGGUGUAAACCGCAUUCGCUCAUGACGAAGCUUUGUGUGACGGUAGUGGGUAAAGAAGCACCGGCUAACUACGUG